RNAcentral lists this long non-coding RNA (533 nucleotides) under Homo sapiens (human). RNAcentral describes it as "HSALNT0001808". Lineage: Eukaryota; Metazoa; Chordata; Mammalia; Primates; Hominidae. The record is from RNAcentral.
CCGCUUGGGACGCGCCGGCGGAGGAGUGGCGCGCGGAGGAGUGGCGCGCUGAGACGCCGCUCGAAGCGCCGAGUCGCGGGGCAGCAGAGGCGUAAGGAGUAGGCGGGGCGAGCCGGCUGGGCUCAGGGUCCACCAGCUCACCCGGGUCGAGGGGCAAUCUGAGGCGACUGGUGACGCGCUUAUCCACUUCCCUCCUCCCGCCUCCCCCUGGGGUGGCGCUCGCUGGUGACGUAGUGAGUGUGAUGGCCGCCGCGAGGCCGGGAAGGUGAAGUCAGGACUGGUGGAGUCAACACAGUCAAUCAAUAGCCAACCUCAACCUGAGACAGGACAGAAGAGAACUCAGAAUCUUUUUGUCUUUUGGACUUCAGCCAUGUCCAUGAUGCCUACCCUGUGAAGAUCUCUCACCAUCCAAAAAAUUGUGCCAGCAGACGAUCCGUGGAUCCAUUUUAUUUUCCCUGCUAGGAGUUGCUGUACAUAACACUGGCGCAAUGUCCCUGCUCUUCUCUCGAUGCAACUCUAUCGUCACAGUCAAG